GCAUGGUUGUCGUCAGCUCGUGUCGUGAGAUGUUGGGUUAAGUCCCGCAACGAGCGCAACCCUUAAGCUUAGUUGCCAUCAUUAAGUUGGGCACUCUAAGUUGACUGCCGGUGACAAACCGGAGGAAGGUGGGGAUGACGUCAAAUCAUCAUGCCCCUUAUGAUUUGGGCUACACACGUGCUACAAUGGACAAUACAAAGGGUAGCGAAACCGCGAGGUCAAGCAAAUCCCAUAAAGUUGUUCUCAGUUCGGAUUGUAGUCUGCAACUCGACUAUAUGAAGCUGGAAUCGCUAGUAAUCGUAGAUCAGCAUGCUACGGUGAAUACGUUCCCGGGUCUUGUACACACCGCCCGUCACACCACGAGAGUUUGUAACACCCGAAGCCGGUGGAGUAACCAUUUGGAGCUAGCCGUCGAAGGUGGGACAAAUGAUUGGGGUGAAGUCGUAACAAGGUAGCCGUAUCGGAAGGUGCGGCUGGAUCACCUCCUUUCUAAGGA
Molecule: ribosomal RNA, 496 nt
Filed under: Staphylococcus sp. HMSC077G12
Lineage: Bacteria; Bacillati; Bacillota; Bacilli; Caryophanales; Staphylococcaceae
Description: bacterial SSU rRNA
Rfam family: Bacterial small subunit ribosomal RNA
Source: RNAcentral